Zingiber officinale is the source of this 648-nucleotide long non-coding RNA. RefSeq lists it as uncharacterized. The transcript has 3 exons. The record is from RefSeq and is a predicted model, not a curated record. Lineage: Eukaryota; Viridiplantae; Streptophyta; Magnoliopsida; Zingiberales; Zingiberaceae.
UUCUUUUUUUCCCCAAAUCAGCGACGUCGUUUCCCCCUUCUCCUUCUCCUACUUCUCCCAAAACCCGAUCCUCUUCUCUUCUCCCUCGUGUGCACGCCCUCACCCCCUCUGCCGCCGACGACAAGAGCCCUAGAUCUUCCUCCUCUCUUCUGGCCGACGCCGACGCCGGCAUCACCAGGAAGCUUAUCAUGCCGGCUGCCGUGAGCCCUAAUUGUGGUCACAAGAUUUCUGCCGAGCCUUCUUUCCUUUUUCCCGGCUGUGGAUCCAACCCAGACUUGACCUUGCCGUCGAGUGUCCUGUUCUUCUUCUCCGGUCUGAUCUGAGCAACCGUGGCAAUUACUGUGAUUUGCUUUGCUUCUGUUGGGCGCCGCUUCAUCUGAUCAACCGCAACAGCCGACCCUCUAUAGCCUACCCAAUUCCAUUGCCCAACCAGAUUUGAUCCGUUUGAUUACAACAGUGAGUAAUUCCAGGUAGCUGCGGCCAGAAAUUUUGGUAGUAGGUUCCUCAAGAUUGGAGCAGCUGUUUACCUUGAAAUCCAGUAGCAAACGACCCUUUUUCAACAGCAAGCAGUGGCUGUGAUUUGAGGUACCAGGUUGUUUAUGGAGUCGCUUCGAGUAUCCUACCUGUCGGUCCCCACAUCACAUCAGA